This is a long non-coding RNA of Actinia tenebrosa (Australian red waratah sea anemone), 2437 nucleotides long. The record is from RefSeq and is a predicted model, not a curated record. Lineage: Eukaryota; Metazoa; Cnidaria; Anthozoa; Actiniaria; Actiniidae.
UUCUCUUGAUGUUGGUAAUUAUUGAUCGAUGAUGGUAUAGUGUGAAUUAAUGAUGAAUGACCUCCAAGGAGGCUGGAACAGGCUACAAAAGUCAAUCGCAGACAUACGGCUUAGGGUGUUUAUGUGGCUUGACUUUUUAAUUGAUCAUGAGUGGAUAAAAAAGAUACAUUUCAAGUCAGCUUGGGGGAAUCAUGUAUACAGUACUCAAGAUAUUCUCAGCGAAUAGUCAUUUGGUCGAUCUAAAAUGGGACAACACUGACCAAGACCAACGGAAUGAGUGUAUUGGAGUACACUAUUAAUGCUAAAUGUAAAGUUAUUUGGUCAAAAAUGGGACAAAACGUGGACCAACUGAAUAGUACUAUUGGUUCAUGGAAUAAUCUUCAAGGAAAAGUCAUUUGGUCAAACAUCGGACCAUACUUGGGGCAACUAAAUGGGUCUUUUUCAAUUAUUUACCAAGUUCAGCUACCGUCAGGAAAUUGUUAUGUGGACUAAAAUGGGACAACUCAACACUGAGACCAACUCAAUGCCGGGGUCUAUAGGUGUCCUCAAGACACCCUAAGGGGAUCACUUGGCUAAAAAUGGGGCAGCACUACAUUAGGGCAACUAAAAUGGUCUUUUCAUGGUCAGGGCUCAAGUUAAGUACCCUUAGGGUAUAGUUAGUAAUGUAGUCUGAACACAGUCUACAUGGGUUUAUUGGUACAAAGUGCUCAAGAGAAUUGUCAAUAAAUAUACUAAUGGGAGGAGAAGAAGCCAAGCUAAUUGGGUAUAUCGCUUAUGCAAAGGGCAAUCAAAUGGCCAUGCACGUCAUGAAAAACGGGGCACACUAAUCCAAACUGAAAUGGGACAACACUGAGUCAAGCUAAAUUGGUACUAUUUCCAAUGUAGUCUGCAAUAUAAUGGUCACUAGAACUACAAUGGAACAACGAUGAGCCAAGUUGAAUGAGUCUACUGCAGAUGUAGUAGUAUGCAAGAGAAUGGUUAGUUUAUAAGGUGACAACAAUGAGCCAAGUUAUAUGAGCCAGUCUAUUGCUAAUAGUGUAGUCUGCAACAGAAUGGUCAUUAGUUCUAUDAUGGAACGGCAACGAUGAGCCAAGCUCAACGAGUCCAUUGCUGAUAUGUGGCAGUCUGCAAGAGAAUGGUCACUAGAACUACAAUGCGGGAACAACGUUAACGAUGAGCCAAGUUGAAUAAGUCUACUGCAGAUGUAGUAGUCUGCAAGAGAAUGGUCACUAGUCUUACAAUAGGACAACAAUGAGCCAGGUUAAAUCGGAGUCUAUUGCWAAUGCAGUGCUUAAGAAAAUGUCUCAAAAGGACAUUGUCUCUCUAUACUCCCUUUAUGCUGUCACAUACACUAUGUACGUGUAAUCAUCAUUUUGGUAUGCCACUAUACCAACUUGUUUUGCUAUCAUGACCAUCAUUCCCUAUCAUCUUCUUAGACACUCAUUUCCUCAACUAACCAGACCAAGUCCGAGUUAUCCAAGCAAAUGCAAUUAAAAUAUUUUACAAAGAUUUCAAGAUAAGACAUAACUCCUCUCGUCUGUCAGCUCAAAUACAUUUUCAUUAACAGAACGUGAGCGUCUGGUAUAAUACUGCGUAGCCGGGUCAAAACAUUCCAAGUUAUCAUCUUAAAAUGAGACCCACUUUAGCCAGAACUAGUACCUUAAUAUUUUAGCCUACGGGCUGGUAAAGGUCACAGCAUUUUUCUCAGAGGAAGUAUUAGUCGUAUUUUAUUUAACGUCUAGUUUGUUGAAAGCGAUGCAGUCACCUUGACUUUGUUUUCACAAAUCAAUCAACUUGGCGUAAUAGGAUGACUAAUUUUUUUCCCGUUGAUUGGUCGAUUAGACUGAUCGGGUGGUCGGUCUGUCUGUCCACUUGCAUCAAGUCAUUGUAAGGGUCGCUCAGAUAGAAAGUAACUUCAAGCAGAGUAAGCCUUGCAUCCUGGACUCAUGGACGGUGAUAGAAUGUAAUGAAUUUAGCAAUUGUGCUUAAUAUGAUUCGUCCGUCCCAGCGGAGGCGCCAACUUCGCCGUUACUUUCCACAUAUGCACAGCGUAUGUCCCUCUUAGAAACCACAUUAGAGCCUCCAAUCCGUAGCAUGAUAUAUUUCUUCAAUACCAAGCUGUUUUUGCAAUCUCAUUAUAAACCAAUCAUGUCUUACUAUAAAAAGAUUUCCUCCCUGCAUGAAUGAGUGCUGAAAUAUUUCUUCGAACUUCACAGCAUGUUAGUAUCCAAAAUAUGCAUGUUUUGUCGGUAUUUUACAAUGACCUCUUAACAUGAACUCUGAAGUACUAACUUGGAGUAUACAAUGUCGGGGUUGUAAGCACUUAGACAUAGACCCUCCUAUUGGGUGGCUGUCCGAUGAUUACGAGGAAUUAUCUACUUAGACAAAAUGAAAAGCAAUAAACAGUCCAUAAGGAAUGGCUAAGAAGAUACAUUAA